Molecule: long non-coding RNA, 9062 nt
Filed under: Betta splendens (Siamese fighting fish)
Lineage: Eukaryota; Metazoa; Chordata; Actinopteri; Anabantiformes; Osphronemidae
Description: lncRNA (ENSBSLG00000008003.1)
Source: RNAcentral
GAGGACUGUGACGUCACAUCCGCCGCGUCUCUCCGGAAGUACAGUUAAUUUUUAUUCACAGGAAAAAAACAGCUGUUGUUGAGAAACAUAAAAAAAUGCCGGCCCCUAAAAGAGGACUGGAUCCUCAUGAUUCUGAGCCUAAGGUGACGAAGUUGGAUGCAGACGGGCAGGAUCUGCCAUCCAAAACUACAGCAGCUAAAUCGCUUAUAACAGGAAAUAUGCAAGAAACGACAGCAGCCCCACGGACUAAGCAACAACUGCCUGGUUCAGCGGAAGAUGGGAAUAAACCAGCAAAGUCUUCUAAAGAGAAUUCCCCUGAAAAGGACUCAGAUUCUGACCCACCUGUCAAAAAAGCCAAGCUCCUGAAUGCCACAAGUGCCUCCUGUGGAGAAGCUCCCUCACAAAAAGUUAACUCCAAAGCUUCGCUGAAACGAUCAGCAUCCACAGACUCUGAUGAUGAGCUGAGUAGUGAUGGGAGUAAGAUUGAUCUUUUUAGAGAGAGAGAUGAUGACGACAAGUCCCGGUGCAUCAGAAAGUACUCAAACCGUGCAAAACGCAAGGCUGAAGAGUCAUCAUCGGACCUGCAGGAGAAAAUCCAAGGCUUACCGCCUGCUUCCGGGGACCCUGUACAGAUGGACCACAACUAUGGUAGGUUUUCAGAUUCACCAAGUGUUCAAGAUAUAGCGUAUCCAAAUGAGACACAAGAGUCUGCUGAGUUUGUCGCUGAAAAGGAGAGAAAAGAAAGCUCAGAUAACAGGACACAAGCCGAGUCAAAAGAAAAUGUAACAAGGAGCACAAACGCUAGCAUCAGCUUUGAAUGUGCACCUGAAGAAGCUAAACAUGAGGCAUUUAAAGAUGUAGAAAGCCAAAAGCUCAUAGAUAAUGAAACACUAGCAUCGUCUAGUAAAACAUUAGACUAUGCAGCAGCUGCAGAUGUGUCUUUCAAGUCAUCUGAGGCUGAGAAAAAUGAAAAGAGGGACAUUGCAGAGUCAAUCGAAGGGCAAAAGGAUGUAGAAGAUGAAACACUAACAUUGUCAGUGAAAACACUAUGUUCUGGUACAAGAGAUCGAAGUUGUGAAAAUGAAGUACGACAAGAUGAUAAAACAGUUUUAGGUUGCAGACCAGAAAAUCAGGCACAUGUUGGCCACGAAAAUGAAACAAAGGAAACCGAAUCUACUGAGUGUGAAACAGAAAUUAAAGGAGUGCCUGAAGCUGCCAGUGUCUCAGAGGAGCACAAAGAUGUAGGUGUAAAAGACAAAGCAUCAAAAGAAACCGACCCCUCACCAGAGGAGAUCCUGAUGGGAGGCAGUAAUCUAGAGAGUGAAACAGACAUCAGCGUCAAAAUUCAGGUUACUUUUAAGGACGAACCAAAAUCUGUACUUAUGCAGGACCAAGUGCCAGACACCAUCACAAACUCAUGUGAUGUAAACAAAGUACUUAAAAAGUCAGAGGAAAACCUUGAAGUAGGUGAACGAAAGGGAGGAGAGUUCUCAUCCACCCAGCCUGCUGCCAGUGCUGCAUCUUUUGUUGAGAUUCAACCAAGCCAUGGUACAACUGACAGCAGUGCUGAAAUAUUAACACCUGAUUGUGAGGCAGCUUAUGAGCAACAACACGUGGUUUCGGAGUGCGUCACGGUCUCAGCAGGUCAAACAGACUUGGACACGCAGCCGAAAAUAACUUCAGAGGAGGGGUCUGACUCGGCACCAAGACACGAUAGACAAAACCACAGAGUAUUUGACCACACUAAAGAAACAAUGGUUGAAUUUAGAGAAGAUUCUACGGUUGAAGUGUCUAUACAUAUGGAAGAACAAAGGGAGACAAACGUUGUGUGCACCUCUGCAGCAAAUAGUCAAACGGAAAUUCCUGCUUCAGCCACAGGAGAGCCAGUACAAAUCCAGAAAAGUCCAGAUAAUUCUGAUCAACUGAAUAAUGGCAUUCUGGAUGAAAAUACUGAAAUGAGGGAAAUGCUGUCUACUUUAACGUCAGAGGCAUCUCAGCCAGUUGCCAGUGUGGAGAUGCAAAGAAGCAAAGAAAUUAUUGAUAUUCACAGCGAUAUGAUGGAAAAUUGUAAGGUGGUGGAAAUGGAGACUAAGCCAUCAGCAAUUUUUCAGCCAAACCCUGAUGUGGAAACUCAGAAAGAGCAAGACUUUGAAGAAUUGACUGCAGAAAUAUCAACGGAUAUUUGUGGAGAUGUGAUAGAAACUGAGAACGAGAACCCUGAAAGUGCUAGUGCACCGAAGUGUCCAAGCAAAAUAGAAACUCAAGCUAUAACCCCAUCAGUAGUUUUAAAUCCACCACCGGAAAUGGGAAUAAAACCUCAGGAGAGUCCUGAAGUUGGUGACGCCAGCAGUGACCCAUCUGGUGAAGUUCCCUCACAUCCAGCUGCAGAUUGUCGGAGCACGGAAGAUGAAAGUGGGUUUGACGCCGGCAGUGUUGCUUCUCAUCAGAAUCUAAAUGAAGAGGAUAUGCAAACUGCAACCACAUCAGAGAAGGCCGCUAACCCAGCACCUGCAGUGGCGAUACAGGGGAGUGUGGAAGUGUGUGAGCACAAUACAGAGAUCUCACAAGAGUUACACGAGGCCAAAGUUGAUGAUUUGAAAUUCGCCUCAAAUAAAAACCAGCUGAUCUUUGAACCCGUGGCUGCAUCAGAAAAUCAAAUUGAAAUGUCAACGUCAACAUCAGAGAGUUCUGACUCAGCCCCUUCAGUGGAGAUGCGAGCUUGUGAAGUAGGAGUGGAUGUAAAAACACCUGAGGAGACUUCCAACACGUCCCCUACAGUCGAAUUAGAAAACCACACAACUCAGGAAGGUAGGGAACAAGCCACGGAUGUGUCUGAUGAAGUUAAGGAAGACUGUAAAAGUGAUGAUUUGAAAUUAGUUAUUACUAGAAAUGAGGAGAAUUUUGAACCCAUGUCUACACCAGGGUGCGAAACGGAGAUGAAACCACAAACUACAUCAACAUCAGAGAUUUUCAACACAAACACAUCAGUAGACGAACAGAAAAAUAAAAUACAUGUGACCAUACAGACUUUAAAGUCAUCCGAGGAGAUUUCUAACACAUCCGACACUUCUGAUGAAUUUCACAAUGAUAACAAAGUCGAAGAAAAAGUUAUAGAUCAUAACAAGAUAACUUUACAGGCCGUUGCUACACCGGAGCGACAAAUUGAGAUGGAAAUGCAGAUUACACUAGCAUCAGGGAUUUCUGACGCGGCUCCUUCGGUAGAGAUUCAAAUGAGUCAAAUAGGAGAGGACAUGCAGACAGCAACAACCCCAGAGGAGGCUGCCAGGGCAUCACCUACAGUAGAAAUGCAACAACUGGGAAUUCCACAAGACAGCGGCCCGAUCAUGUCUGACCAACCUGAUGACGACAGUGAAACUAAACAGGAAAACGAGCUGAGCUUUGAAGCUGUAGCUGCAACAGGUAGUCACACUGAAAUGGAACUACAGACCUACAGCUCUACCCCAUUGGUGGAUGAGCAAGCAAGUGAAACAGAAAUGGACAUAAGAACUGCACAGAUAUCAGAGGAGGCUUCUGACACAUCGCCUACCGUUGAAAAAGAAGAGGAAUCCCAGGAAGACAAGGCUAAAGCGAGAGCAUGGGAAGACGCCCAUCAGGAGCUAAACACUGAAAGCUGUAAAAGUUUGGAAGAGGACAAGAAGGGCAACUGUUUUGUGACUGUAUCAGAGAAUCCAAUGCAAUUGGAAAAACAUGUUAUGUCAUGCAUAGAUGUUGCUAAUCCAGCAUCCUCAGCGAUGGUACUAAGUCAGGAGAACCCAAGGGAAGUGAAAAUGGAGACUGCAGCUACAUCACUGGAGAUUUCCAGCAGAGCACCCACAGUAGUAAUACAGGCCCCAGAGAGCCAGGGUGGCCAUGAAGACAAUAUGCGAGAGAGUGAGGGAAUGAAAAAUGAGCUUGUUGUUUCAGCCCCUGCAGUAGAAACACAAGACGCUGAGCCGACCGUAGACACAUCAGAAGAGGUUGAAGCCAGUCUACGGAUUCCUGCAAAGGAGAAUGAGAUUGUCUCACAAUUUGUCGGUGCUGUUGAGAGUCUAGUAGAGAGAGAAACACAGACGACAGCAACAACAACACCAGAGGAGAUUUCUAAUCCAUCAGCAGCUGGAACACAAAAUCCCAGAGGCCAGGAGGUCAGUGAACAUACCACAGACGCUGAACUUCAAAAGGAUGCAGUUGUUACUGGUACUGAAGAGAAAGAAAAUGAGGAGAUUGAUUCUCAGUACCUUGAACACACUGAGUCACAAAUAGAAAAAGAACUAGAAAAAACAGCAACACCAGAGAACAGUUGUGACCCAGGAUCUAUGAUGGAAAUACAAAACCAGGAGAACCAGGAGGUUCCUGAACGUAACAAAGGCACUGAACUUCAAAGAGCUGCAGUCUUGGCUUGUACUGAGAAUAAUGAAAACAUGGAAUCAGCUAUGACUCAAUCUGUCAGUGCUGCUGAGACUCAGAUGAACAUUGAUGCGGAAACAGCUGUAACGCAAGAGGAGAUUUGUGAUCCGGACUCUGUAAUGGAAAUACAAAUUCAGAAAGGCCAGGAGAAAGGUGAACUCAACAUGGCCGCCGAUGUUCAGAGAGCUCAGGCCACUACGAGUUGUUGGGAUGCGGAGGAAAACGAAGACACAGCCACUGCCCCAGCUGUAAAUCAAACAACUGAAGAAACAGCAACAGCCAAACAGCUGAAUCACAAGAUGGAAGAUGUUUGUGAACAACACAGUGCUGACUCAAAUGUAAUUCAUGAAACAACUCCGAUGACUAGUCUGGAAAACAACAAAUGUGUGGCCGAGACAGGCUCCGAAGAAGUAGAGGAUAUGGAUCUAAUAAGGGGAUCAAUAGAAACAGUAGAUUCUGAUUGGGAUGCGGAAACAAGAAGGCAAAUGACUAAUGAGGCCAAAAAAGAGGCUGCAGCCAUUUGUAGUGAUAAGGUUGAUGAAAGCGUUACUAAUAGUGAAAUAAGUGGAGGCAAAGAAGUCCCUGUUUUUGUUUGUGAACAACCAAGUGACACGGAUGUUGUUCAGGCACCGGAGGAGCAGAUGGAGACGGUGUCUGAGCCUAAGGACGUCCAGAUAGUGUAUGAGCCCAUUAGUAGUCCAGAGAGUCCUGAUAAUAGGGAUGCCUUUGAAAUGUCUGAGAAGCACGACGGUGUUUCUGUAUUGGACAUACAGAGCGCAGAUACCCACGAAAUGAAAGAAGCUUCCUGCGAAGAAAGCACGGAAACUAGCGCCCGUGACAGCGAGGGGCAUGUGAAGGAGGGCCUUCAAGAACCGCGUGAAAUGGAAGUUCAGGCCAUCAGCGUGGCAGACGCUUCUCUCCCUCCUGCGUCGGAGCAGAAUGACGACGCUGCGGAUGGGAGACAAACGGCACCCGCCGUCGCCAGCGAUGACUGCAGCGUGCCAGAUGGCCGGGGACAAGCAGCAACCCAAGACAGUGGAAGGAGUGGCCUCCCAGGAUGCACCGGGGCCGCCGAGCCUUCUGAGGCGGCGCAGGAGGACGCAGGAGGCGUCACGAUGCCGGCAGCCUCGGCGUCCAAGGAGCACGUGGCUCCGGAACCGGCGGCUCUGGAACCGGUGGCUCCGGGUGAAAUUCAGUUUGAUAUUGUCACCCAAGCGGCUACUGAGUCUGGGCUGUCGUGCUCGCUUUUAGGGGAAGCGAAUUCAGAAAGUGCUUUAGAAGGUGAGGUGGAAAAUCAAAAGCUCUUAAAUGGUUUCCAACAACCUGAACAGACUGUUCUCGCUGAGUCAGAAGAGGAGGUCAGAGAAGCAACAGAGAAAAGUGGAGAUGAGGGCAGUGGGAGCCAAGUCACGACAGACACAUCAACAGGGGAGGACGCUCAGCAGCCGUCGUCUGACGUGGCGGAUGUGGCGGCCUCUCAUGCCCAGGUCGCAGAGGAGAACCCUGUUGCCGUGGCGAUGGAGACGGAAACCAGCCUGGACGUCCAGGAGGUGCAGAUUAUGGAGGACAUGCAGAUCGGUCGGGAGGUUGUCGUAGCAGAGGAGGCCGAAAAACCCAAGAAGCAAGAAAUGAACACGCAGGCCAGGACCAAAGCUCGUCUGGCGGCUCUGGCCGAGCAAAAGGCGGCGGAGUCGAAGAGGACGGCCAACAGACAGCAGCUGAACCUCUUAGCGCUGUGUCAGGAGAUCGCGGAGGACAUCGCCACGGACAGCAUGUUGCUGAAGAGGAUCGAGGAGGAGAAGCAGGCGGCGGCAGCUGCAGCAGCUGCAGCCGCAGCGGCAACAGCGGCCGCCGCCGAGGGUGAAGCCAGCAAGAAGGAGGAUCCACCUGAUACCAAGCAGGAGGCCGAGGAUGCCAAGCUGGACCCCCCCGCCGGGCCAGAGCAGCGGCCCGCUUCAGUGACGCCCACAGAGGCGCCAUCCACCGCCCCGGACCCCCAGCCCUCAACGGCAGCCUCAGCUGAGCCCAAAGCUGCUCCAGAGCCUCCGAAAAGACGCUUCUUCAUCUCUCAGGUGUCAGUGCCGCUGAAAACCCACGAGAAGAAGAAGCUGACUAGAUAUCAGAGACUGAGACAGGUUGAGCUGCAGAGGGAGAAGAUGUCCUGGGCUCGUGUCAAGAAGCUGAAGUCUGACCAAGUGAACCAGAUGUUCUCAGACAUGGACUGGCAGGCGCCGUUCUCCGCCGCCUCCUCAUUCUUAGCGGGCUCCACGGCGACGGCGCCUCCUCCGCCUGCAGCUUCUCCACCCAAAGCGUCUCCACCCAGUCCUGCCACCGAGAGGGCGCCUGCUACGCCUAAGGCCGAGGCUCCCACGGCUGAGACACCCACCGCUGAACCCGUCCAGGUGGAGCCCGUGAAAACCGAACCCGUUGCUCCGGAAAACGUAAAGUCAGAGCCCACGCAACCUGAACCUGAAGCGUCUAAACCGGAGUCUCCCGGUACUGAAACCCGCAGGGUAACGCGGCAGAGCAAGGCUCAGGCUGAGAAAGCGGCCGCUGAGAAGGCAGCCGCUUCUAAGGCAACGACCCCUAAAGCAGCAACUGCUGCAGGUCCUGCCCCAAAAGUGACCAGAUCAGCAUCCAAGAGGAGUCUUCCAGCAAAUCCUCCUCCCAUGCCCAACGGGCUCAAUGCUCAGAAGCCCAAACCUGUUGAGUACAAGCCAUACAGACCCCGGCCCAAAUAUUCCUUCGAUGACUUUGAACUGGAUGACGACCCGUUGCCAGUGGCUCCAGCGAAGCCCAGUCCUCAGUCCCGGCCCGUGCAGCCAGCACAGCCCCUUCAGCCCCAGCCCUCCGCUCAGUCCAGACUCACCCACCCAUCCAAACCCACCGCCUCGUUACCACAGAAAGCCCAGUCCACACCUGCUGGACAGAUCUCAGGUCAGUCAAAGCCCACUGUUACAGCUGCAGCCCAGUUAAAACCCGCCUCUUCCACCAAUCCACAAUCAAAGCACGCCGCUGCAGCAGCGCCCCAGCCAAAGGCCGCCGCAGCAGCAGCGGCAUCGGCCAAACCUCUGUUAAAGCCGCCUAUCGCGACGCCGCAGUCGAAGGCUGCUUCAGCUCCAUGUCAGUCCAAACCUGCCGCUGCUGGUGCCGCUCAGCCAAAGCCAUCUGCUCCCACGACCUCCCAGCAGGCUGCACCGACCGCAGCUGACACCAAGUCUGGUGCUCCCAAGGCUGAAGAGGCUUCACUAGAAGAUGGGAAACGCAAGGAUACAGCUGAUCCACCUCCGUCAGCUCCCACCCCUUCGCUUCCCUCCAUAAGCAGCCUGACAGCACCUGACGACACGCAGCAACGUGAAGAAAAGCCUGCAGUGAGCGAUGCUGAGCCAUCACUGGAGAGCAAGACCGAUUUAUCCAAGAAAGACGAGAAGACACUGGAUGACGCUUGUCAGGACGGAGCAGCUAAACCACAAGACAGUGGAACUCCUCUCUCUGAUGCAUGUCUUCAAAGAGAAGUCAAGAAACUAAAGGAGGCUGACAAAGAUUCCACACAGACCAUUAUUGAUGCGGGACAAAAGCAUUUUGGCGCAGUGGCCUGCAGUGUGUGUGGGAUGCUCUACUCUGCUGCCAACCCUGAGGAUGAAUCUCAGCAUUUACUCUUCCACAAUCAGUUCGUCAGCGCCGUCAGAUACGUGGGAUGGAAGAAAGAGAGGAUCCUAUCUGAGUUUCAUGACGGCAAAAUCAUUCUGGUCCUGCCUGAUGAUCCUAAAUAUGCUCUGAAGAAGGUGGAGGAGAUCAGGGAGAUGGUGGACAAUGACCUAGGCUUCCAGCAGGUGGAGACCAAGUCCCCCUCCAAGACCAAAACCUUUCUCUUCAUCUCCAGCGACAAGAAAGUGACGGGAUGCCUAAUAGCAGAGCACAUCCAGGAGGGGUACAGGGUGAUCGAGGAGCCCCUGCCGGAAGGUUCCGAGCGUGAAAAGGUGAUGUUUGAGCGCCAGAGAGCCUGGUGCUGCUCCACCACACCAGAACCAGCCAUCUGUGGCAUCAGCCGCGUCUGGGUGGUCAACACCAUGAGACGCCAGGGCAUCGCCACCCGCAUGCUGGAGUGCCUCAGGAACAACUUCAUCUAUGGCUCGUACCUGAGCAAAGAUGAGAUCGCGUUCUCUGAUCCCACUCCUGAUGGGAAACUCUUUGCCACGCAUUAUUUCGGCACUUCUCAGUUUUUGGUUUAUAACUUUGUGAGUGGCAGUCGCACGUCCCAGCCCAAAACUGGUACAGUAUGACGGUCCAACUGGAUUUAACCAAGACGUCCCCGAACAAGUGGACCCACUGACACAGUCCUCACUACGUAACUAUACAAAAAACUGUAAAUUACUCCUAAGAGAGGAUAAACAUUGGUUUAAAUCUCAGGAUGAAAACAACAAGGUGUUGUUGAAAAAAUGAUUAAUUCACCCUUUAAUCCCUGCAUAGUAUUUUGAAAAAAGAAGAGUAUUUUCUUUAUACAUUUUUAAGUAAACACUUGGUUUUAUUAGAAGUAUAGAGUUUACAUGCAUGACCUGACAGCAAUAGAAAACAGCUUUUCUUUGUUUUUGAGUUCCCGAGUUGAUUCAGCUGCAUUCAAUAAACAUUUUAGGGUUCGUCUUAUGUUUCUGCUU